CCUACGGGAGGCAGCAGUGAGGAAUAUUGGUCAAUGGCCGGAAGGCUGAACCAGCCAAGCCGCGUGAAGGUCAGUGCCCUAUGGGCGUUAAACUUCUUUUGUGCGGGAGCAAUAAUGGUCACGUGUGGCCAGACGAGAGUACCGUACGAAUAAGCAUCGGCUAACUCCGUGCCAGCAGCCGCGGUAAUACGGGGGAUGCAAGCGUUAUCCGGAGUUAUUGGGUUUAAAGGGUGCGUAGGCUGGGAUGUAAGUCAGGGGGGAAAUGCCCCCGCUCAACGGGGUGAAGUGCCAUUGAUACUGGCUUGCUGGAAUGCGGAUGCCGUAGGAGGAAUGUGUGGUGUAGCGGUGAAAUGCAUAGAUAUCACACAGAACACCGAUUGCGAAGGCAUCUCACGAAUCCGCGAUUGACGCUGAUGCACGAAAGCGUGGGUAUCAAACAGGAUUAGAUACCCGAGUAGUC
This 460-nucleotide ribosomal RNA is filed under the name uncultured bacterium. Its description in RNAcentral is "partial 16S ribosomal RNA". It matches the Rfam family "Bacterial small subunit ribosomal RNA", at positions 338 to 795 of the family's 1533-position model. The record is from RNAcentral.